UACAGAGGUGGCAAGCGUUGUUCGGAAUUACUGGGCGUAAAGGGCUCGUAGGCGGCCAACUAAGUCAGACGUGAAAUCCCCCGGCUUAACCUGGGAACUGCGUCUGAUACUGGGAGGCUUGAGUAUGGGAGAGGGAUGUAGAAUUCCAGGUGUAGCGGUGAAAUGCGUAGAUAUCUGGAGGAAUACCGGUGGCGAAGGCGGCAUCCUGGACCAUAACUGACGCUGAGGCGCGAAAGCUAGGGGAGCAAACGGG
RNAcentral lists this ribosomal RNA (253 nucleotides) under uncultured bacterium. RNAcentral describes it as "partial 16S ribosomal RNA". It matches the Rfam family "Bacterial small subunit ribosomal RNA", at positions 524 to 776 of the family's 1533-position model. The record is from RNAcentral.